RNAcentral lists this non-coding RNA (24 nucleotides) under Arabidopsis thaliana (thale cress). The record is from RNAcentral. Lineage: Eukaryota; Viridiplantae; Streptophyta; Magnoliopsida; Brassicales; Brassicaceae.
GACCACAAGUUAGCGUGUCUAGCC